UACAGACCAGGUCGGAAGAUCCGAAUUUACACAGAUUCAGUCGUCUGCUUGUUCUCUGACGUCAUCCUCGCACGCGUCAGUACCAGUUGACGUCAACCUCUCUUGUGACGUCAGUUUCGAUGAACUCAGCUGAACUCUGACCUAGUAUUGCUACAGAGUCAACUCAGGAUGUCUUACAAUAAACAUGUAAACAAUGCCAAGAGGUUGUUUUCUUGUGUCUUCCGCAACAUUCCCUUCAACUGGUGUAUUUUCUGUACAGUCCGCAUCAUCUGUGCUCAACCAUCUUUACUAGGAGCGAACUAGUGAGAUCAUUAAGUGAGGUCACGUGGGUUUGCACGCCGAUUGAAGAAGAUGAAACAAACAGUCUUUAUUUACUUUCUCAUCGAAGUGAUAUGAAACGAUUCCCUUUUGUGCGUGGAAUCUUCACCGCUCGGUAAGGUCUUUAAGAACAGAAGGAAGUAGGAGGACGAAGAAAACAGCUGCUUGACUGCGGCGUAGUAACCUAAGAAAUGAAUUUCGAACUGAGACAGAGACAUCCCAAGAGAGUCAACUGUGAUCACUUCCCUGAUGAAGCCAUCAAGCCGGGUUUCCUAUUUCUUAUUACCUUCAAUCAUCGUGUGGUGCUCCAACAGGUCUUUUCACUUUUUUCUGUCAUCACGCCACUACGUGGGAAAAUCAUGACCACGUAGUCUUCACAUCACGUGCUACGUCUCCAGCCUCGACCUUACAUCGCAGACAGUACACUCGACAAACAACAUAGUUCACAUAAUACAAAGUCUUGUAGAUGGAAACGAAUGUUGUCAACUAUGUGUGUAAAGAAGAAUGCUUAGAGUUUAUUAAUCAGACAAAGACCUAAGAGUUGUUAAUUGCUGAAAUGGCUAAUGAUGGUGAGGAGGGGAGGAGAGAUGCCCUGAGAUGUUUGAUGCUUGUCAGGCAGGGACUUGGUGUUCAAUUCUCAGCAGUCGGUGUAAGUGAUUAUAAAAUAGCAACAUCAUAACCAUAUUUAUACGUCAGGUUUAUCAACUGGUUGUGCAAGAUUUUCAAAAAUUUGUCGUGUGACAUAUACAAAAUGGAGGAAGA
This is a long non-coding RNA of Pomacea canaliculata, 1080 nucleotides long. RefSeq lists it as uncharacterized. NCBI's taxonomy places the organism in Eukaryota, Metazoa, Mollusca, Gastropoda, Architaenioglossa, Ampullariidae. The record is from RefSeq and is a predicted model, not a curated record. The transcript is spliced from 2 exons.